AAAGUCUGAUGGAGCACGCCGCGUGAGUGAAGAAGGGUUUCGGCUCGUAAAACUCUGUUGUUAAAGAAGAACAUAUCUGAGAGUAACUGUUCAGGUAUUGACGGUAUUUAACCAGAAAGCCACGGCUAACUACGUGCCAGCAGCCGCGGUAAUACGUAGGUGGCAAGCGUUGUCCGGAUUUAUUGGGCGUAAAGCGAGCGCAGGCGGUUUUUUAAGUCUGAUGUGAAAGCCUUCGGCUUAACCGAAGAAGUGCAUCGGAAACUGGGAAACUUGAGUGCAGAAGAGGACAGUGGAACUCCAUGUGUAGCGGUGAAAUGCGUAGAUAUAUGGAAGAACACCAGUGGCGAAGGCGGCUGUCUGGUCUGUAACUGACGCUGAGGCUCGAAAGUAUGGGUAGCAAACAGGAUUAGAUACCCUGGUAGUUCAUACCGUAAACGAUGAAUGCUAAGUGUUGGAGGGUUUCCGCCCUUCAGUUGCUGCAGCUAACGCAU
This 491-nucleotide ribosomal RNA is filed under the name Lactiplantibacillus plantarum. RNAcentral describes it as "bacterial SSU rRNA". It matches the Rfam family "Bacterial small subunit ribosomal RNA", at positions 378 to 860 of the family's 1533-position model. Lineage: Bacteria; Bacillati; Bacillota; Bacilli; Lactobacillales; Lactobacillaceae. The record is from RNAcentral.